GGAGAGGUGGCCGAGCGGCUGAAGGCGGCGGUUUGCUAAACCGUUAUACGAGUUACAUCGUAUCGAGGGUUCGAAUCCCUCCCUCUCCG
This 89-nucleotide transfer RNA is filed under the name Candidatus Elarobacter sp. RNAcentral describes it as "tRNA-Ser". It matches the Rfam family "tRNA". Rfam says of the family: Transfer RNA (tRNA) molecules are approximately 80 nucleotides in length. Lineage: Bacteria; Bacillati; Vulcanimicrobiota; Vulcanimicrobiia; Vulcanimicrobiales; Vulcanimicrobiaceae. The record is from RNAcentral.